UGCUGGGAAACUGGGUCUAAUACCGGAUACGACCUCCUGCGGCAUCGCGGGUGGUGGAAAGUUUUUCGGUUGGGGAUGGGCUCGCGGCCUAUCAGCUUGUUGGCGGGGUAGUGGCCUACCAAGGCGACGACGGGUAGCCGGCCUGAGAGGGCGACCGGCCACACUGGGACUGAGACACGGCCCAGACUCCUACGGGAGGCAGCAGUGGGAAUAUUGCGCAAUGGGCGGAAGCCUGACGCAGCGACGCCGCGUGGGGGAUGACGGCCUUCGGGUUGUAAACCUCUUUCAGCAGGGACGAAGUUGACGUGUACCUGCAGAAGAAGCGCCGGCUAACUACGUGCCAGCAGCCGCGGUAAUACGUAGGGCGCAAGCGUUGUCCGGGAUUAUUGGGCGUAAAGAGCUCGUAGGUGGCUGGUCACGUCUGCCGUGAAAGCCCGCAGCUUAACUGCGGGUCUGCGGUGGAUACGGGUCGGCUAGAGGUAGGUAGGGGCAAGUGGAAUUCCUGGUGUAGCGGUGAAAUGCGCAGAUAUCAGGAGGAACACCGGUGGCGAAGGCGGCUUGCUGGGCCUUACCUGACGCUGAGGAGCGAAAGCGUGGGGAGCGAACAGGAUUAGAUACCCUGGUAGUCCACGCUGUAAACGUUGGGCGCUAGGUGUGGGGAUCUUCCACGAUUUCCGUGCCGGAGCUAACGCAUUAAGCGCCCCGCCUGGGGAGUACGGCCGCAAGGCUAAAGCUCAAAGGAAUUGACGGGGGCCCGCACAAGCGGCGGAGCAUGUUGCUUAAUUCGACGCAACGCGAAGAACCUUACCAAGGUUUGACAUCACCCGGAAACGCUCAGAGAUGGGCGCCUCUUCGGACUGGGUGACAGGUGGUGCAUGGCUGUCGUCAGCUCGUGUCGUGAGAUGUUGGGUUAAGUCCCGCAACGAGCGCAACCCUUGUUCCAUGUUGCCAGCACGCUCCUUCGGGGGUGGUGGGGACUCAUGGGAGACUGCCGGGGUCAACUCGGAGGAAGGUGGGGAUGACGUCAAGUCAUCAUGCCCCUUAUGUCUUGGGCUGCAAACAUGCUACAAUGGCCGGUACAGAGGGCUGCUAAACCGUGAGGUGGAGCGAAUCCCUAAAAGCCGGUCUCAGUUCGGAUUGGGGUCUGCAACUCGACCCCAUGAAGUCGGAGUCGCUAGUAAUCGCAGAUCAGCAACGCUGCGGUGAAUACGUUCCCGGGCCUUGUACACACCGCCCGUCACGUCACGAAAGUCGGCAACACCCGAAGCCCGUGGCCCAACCACCUUGUGUGGGGGGAGCGGUCGAAGGUGGGGCUGGCGAUUGGGACGAAGUCGUAACAAGGUA
This 1344-nucleotide ribosomal RNA is filed under the name metagenome. RNAcentral's name for it is "bacterial SSU rRNA". It matches the Rfam family "Bacterial small subunit ribosomal RNA", at positions 147 to 1498 of the family's 1533-position model. The record is from RNAcentral.